This is an RNA transcript of Cucumis sativus (cucumber), 3274 nucleotides long. RefSeq lists it as hypothetical. Lineage: Eukaryota; Viridiplantae; Streptophyta; Magnoliopsida; Cucurbitales; Cucurbitaceae. The record is from RefSeq and is a predicted model, not a curated record. The transcript has 14 exons.
ACUAAUCUGUGAUGAAUAUAUAAUGUGUAGUCGCUUGUGCCAUUACAUAUGUUUUCCUAAAGUUUUCUCGCAUGGUCUCGCCCUUCUUCAUCUUCUUCACUGAGUCAAAACCAAAGAGCAAUGACAUUCUAAAACCCUAAUUCUUCACUGCCCUAAUCUGUUUUUGAGUUUUCUUUUUUCCGAAAUUGAGUUUCAGAAUGGAUCAACAUCUUCAUCAUCCUCAACAAUGGCAUCCCAGGCCAAUCCAACCCACCGUCUGUCCAAUUUGCACAAUGUCCCACUUCCCCUUUUGCCCUCCCCAUCCUUCCUUCAACCAAAACCCUAGAUAUCCCUUCGGACCCGAUCAUUCUUUCCAAACCUCCGGUUUUGACUCUCAUCGUUCACCCAUGAGGAUGCCACCCCCGUAUAUGGCGAAUCCUGACGAUGGUUUUGCAGAUCAGAGGCCGUGGAUAAGGAAUUCUGCCAAUUCGUAUGGGCAUGUUCCGUUCCACCCUCACAGAGAAGGGUUUUUCCCGCCACCGUAUGAUUAUGGCGGGAAUGAGUUUGUGAACGACGCUGAAAGAAGCUACAAGAGGCCGAGGGUUGAUGAUGUGGGUUCGGAGGGGGGUGUUCAUGAACUUAAUCAGAAUCAGGAUACCGGUAGGAGUUCGUUCGAGGAUGAGCGUAGGUUGAAGUUGAUUCGGGAUCAUGGAAUUGUACCGAGUGGACCGCCUGAAGGUGGGUCUAAUUCCUUGCCGAGAAUGAAUUUGGGUUCUAAUGGCGAAGCUAACAGACGCAGUCUUGAAAAUUCAGUAGGAUCUGGAGACCCAGAAGAUGUCGGUAGCUCUAGAAUCUUGGAAACCAAUAACUUCCACGAUUCGGGUAAUGGCAGUAAUAAUGGAAGAACUCAACACUUUCAUGAGAAUGGUAGAAUUGACAAGCGGUGGCCUUCCCAAAAUGAAGAAUUUUCACAUGCUCGUUAUGAUCAGGUUGGAGGAAGCCAUUGGCAUCCUCAACAUAAGCCGCACUCUGUUCAUCCUGAAGCCACCGAAGACAACUAUCUUGCUCAUAGACACGAAGUGCAUUAUUCUGAUGAUCGGCAAGCAUUUUCCUGGGUGGAUGAAAGAAAUAACAGCAAAAUGGCCGUUUUUGAUCGUGAUUAUCAGCCACCUCCUCGCUCUGAGAUGAACCCAAUCCAUAUGAGAUCGUUUUCAUCGCACGGAAAUGCUCAUCACGGUACUCGAAACUUGAAUUUUGGUGCUGGAUACGCUCCACGGCUUUCUGGGGGUGGCAGAUUCUUGGAAAAUGGAAGCUCAAUUGAAGAUUCUCGCUUCUUUUGUGAGCAACCUCCUCUUCCUGCUUCUCCACCCCCGCCUAUGCCUUGGGAAGCACACUUGCACGCUUCGGCAGAGUCUGUAGCUUACUCUUCUCAAGCAAAACCUCCAUCCCUGUUUCCUGUUCCUGUUAGUACCUCAACAAUAACAUCAUCAGCAUAUUCUUCAGCUCCUGAACACCGUUCCUUUCACCACCAUAAACCAAUGCCUCAUGUUUCUUCUAGCCCUAUGAUGGAGGAUUCCCUGGCAUUGCACCCAUACUCUAAGAAAUUUGCUGCGGAUGGCAAACCUUUUGGAUUGAAUCAAUUGCCUCCACAAAAACCCAAAGUUAUUGAUGCUUCGCAAUUAUUCAAGCCACCUCAUCGGUCUACUCGUCCAGACCAUAUCGUGGUUAUCCUUCGAGGACUUCCAGGUAGUGGAAAGAGCUAUUUGGCGAAGAUGUUGCGUGAUGUUGAAGUUGAAAAUGGUGGUGAUGCUCCUCGUAUACAUUCAAUGGAUGAUUACUUCAUGACAGAGGUGGAAAAGGUUGAUGAAGUUGAUGCCAAAUCAUCAAAUUCAAUUAAAGGCAAGAAGCCAAUCACGAAGAAGGUCAUGGAAUAUUGUUACGAACCUCAAAUGGAGGAGGCUUAUCGGUCAAGCAUGUUGAAAGCAUUCAGGAAGACCCUUGAGGAGGGGAUUUUCACCUUUGUAAUCGUGGAUGACCGCAAUCUGCGGGUAGCUGAUUUUGCUCAGUUUUGGGCAAUUGCAAAGAGUUCGGGCUAUGAAGUUUACAUUUUGGAAGCUACGUAUAAGGACCCUGCAGGCUGUGCAGCAAGGAAUGUGCAUGGGUUUAACCUCGAUGAUAUACAAAAGAUGGCUAGACAAUGGGAAGAAGCUCCGCCUUUGUACUUACAAUUGGACAUCAAGUCUUUAUGUCAUGGGGAUGACCUUAAAGAAAGUGGAAUUCAGGAGGUUGACAUGGAUAUGGAAGAUGAAGACGAUGGUAGUCCUAGUUUUCAAGAAACGAUGUCAGAGAAGACUGCAUUACCUUCUCUAAGACAUGAUGCUUCUGAAGAUGAUGAGAAGAGAUGGGAUGCAGAACCGGACCAUCUGAGAGAGGAAGUAAAGGAGUUAGGUAGGAGUAAAUGGUCAAAUGAUUUAGAUGAUGAUGAUACAGAAAGAACUGAUGGCCGGAACGGUCACUCAAAUGCUCUUUCUGGUCUGAUUCAAGCUUAUGCCAAAGAAGGAAAGUCGGUUAGCUGGAUGGACCAGGUUCGUAAUACCGGAUUCUCAAUCGGUGCUGCAAAAAAGGCAAACAGAUUAUCUUUAGUAAUUGGUCCUGGCCCUGGAUAUAACCUGAAAUCCAACCCAUUAGCAGAAGAAGAAUAUCGUGGUUCAACCCAAAACAGUAACGAGUCAAAGAAACACAGCAGAUUUGAGGAGCGACUCCGUGCAGAAAGUGAAUCAUUCAAAGUUGUCUUCGAUAAAAGACGACAAAGGAUAGGAGGACUUGAUUGGGAAGAGGAAUAGGGAUUGGUCAAGAAGCAUAAAAAUUUAGAUAUGGAAGCAUACAUUUUUUUGUACACAUUUUCUGAGAGGAGAUGUUGAUCUCAAUUCAGAAUGAGGACCUGCAAAUCGUGUAAGCCUUGUGACGAAGGUCCCGGGUUUCGAAUGGAUAACAUCUUUCUUGGAGUAUCUUUUGAUGGGGUUCCCAGAUUGGAUGAAGAAAGCUCCAUUCAUCAUCAGAUCUCCCUCUGACCUCCAGUUCCAAGAUCUCCAUUCGCUUUCCGGUGCAUACACCCUUUUCGUCACCUACAUCGGCCAACAAUAACAAUUUCUCAAUACAUUGCUAAACAUUUGGACAUAUGUAAGAUAGGGAGAUAUUGUUUCCUGUGUAGGUUGGUUUCAAUGGAUAAUACUCAAGAACCCAAUUAAGAGCAAGCUCUUUAGGAAUGGAUGUAGCUGUGUGAUUAUAAGUGAUA